Non-coding RNA from Musa acuminata subsp. malaccensis (wild Malaysian banana), 1888 nucleotides. NCBI's taxonomy places the organism in Eukaryota, Viridiplantae, Streptophyta, Magnoliopsida, Zingiberales, Musaceae. The record is from RefSeq and is a predicted model, not a curated record.
GCUACGGGUGCUAUCUUUUGUCCCACAAUGGCGGCUGCGACGCUCCGCUCCGUUCUCCGCCGCAAUAGCCUUCUGCCCCUGUUCGAAACCCGCAGCCUUCGAGGUCUCUUCUUCUUCUCCUCCUCUAUCGACCCUGCCGCCGCUGUAGGCGUCACCAUAUCUCCAGAUCCGAACUUCAUGGUGGAAUACCUCGUGAACUCCUGUGGGUUCUCCCCCUCCGAGGCAGCCAAGUUCUCUAAACCCCUUGCGCACCUCCGAUCCACCGAGAAACCAGACGCCGUCAUUAACUUCAUGAGAUCUCAGGGCUUCGACGGGGCCGGUAUCAGGAAGGUGAUAUCUGGGGAUCCCAGAUACUUAUGCUGCAACGUGGAGAAGAACCUCACCCCGAAGUUUCAGUUCUUACGCGAUUUGGGCCUAUCGGAGUCGGAUAUCGCCGAUGCCAUCCUGAAGAACGAUGUCAUCCUGCGCCUCGACGUUCACCGUUCCUUGGUCCCCAAAUUGGAGAUGUGGGAAAGUAUCUUGGGAUCGAGAGAGCUCGUUCUCAAGCAUCUCAAGAAGACAAGAUGGUUUUUCUUCUCCAGCGUCGAGAAGACAUUGCAUCCUAACUUAAAGUUCUUGAGGGAUGAGUGCGGCAUUCCUGAAGAAAGGGUCUCUGUCGUCUUGAGAAGUUACCCACAAUUAAUCUCACAGAAACCAGAGUCUCUCCGAGCUUUGGUGGCGAGAGCCAAUGAGCUGGGAAUGCCACGGCAAUCUCGGAUGUUCGUGCGGACACUUAAUGCUCUCCACAACGUAAGCCAAGAAAGGUUCGAGGCCAAGGUCGAGCUCAUGAGGAGCUUCGGGUGGUCGGAGUCGGAGUUUUCUUCCGUAGUCAGGAAAGUGCCAACCUUCUCAUGCAUGUCCCUCGAUAUGAUGCGCAGAAAAAUGAAAUUUUUUAUCAAUGUAGUCGGGUACACCCCUUCCUUCAUCGCCUCCCAACCAACUAUCUUGCUAUAUAGUCUGCAGAAGAGGGUAAUUCCUCGGUUUCGUGUCACAGAGAUGUUGAAAUCGAAAGGAUUGUGGACUGGACAAGGCAAGUUUACAUGCAUUCUCACAUUCUCAGAUACCAAAUUCAUGGAGAAGUUUGUUCUCCCUCACAAAGAAAAUGUUCCUGAGCUGCUUGAUAUUUUGAGAGUUGCUGGCACCUGGAAAGGAAAUGAUACCUUGCAUUUGGCAUCGGAGGAUGAGGAAGGGCUUAGCUGAUGGUCUAAUUUGUGACGACGAAGGUAGAUUAUUCCCCUAAUUUGAGAUUUUGGAAAUAGAAUGCAAAGGGCUUAUCAAAAGGUGAAUUGAGUGGCUUCAAUGGAAUUUGAAAGACCGGUUGCACUGGGUUGAUCAGGAGUCACCAGCUCUUCUGAAAUGUCUUCAACCUCCUUUGGAAUUGCUAAAGCUUUUCUCGCAUCAACAAACUCUUGCAUGCCUCCAUAGGCUUCUGCUCGUCCACUCUUUGGGAUUCCAGGUGCAGAUCUCUUCAUUCUUGGAUUUGGUGGAUGCAACUUCUCAUCAUCAUAGCUGAAGCUUCUGCUCCACUUGAAAGCCUUCAGAAGGCUGCACAACUAAAUUUCUCCAACAUCUUUAUCGAGCUAAUUCCCUUGGAGUUAGUCGAUUCGUUGGUUCCUUAAGAAUAUUUUGGAUGUCAUUUUAUUUCUUAUUUCAAGUCUUUAUGUUGCCGAUGUGGUCCAUGUUUCCCGCAUCAUGAACCGCGUGGCCCAUUGGCUAGUCAAUCUCGGAAGGGCUGUAAAUUCUCUACGUGUUUUUGGGUCUUGUAAUGAUAGAUCAGUCUAGCGCAGUAUCUAGUCCUCUUUAAUCUUUAAUGAAAUUUCUCCUUUUUCGGUAAAAAAAGAAAAAGAAA